Onychostoma macrolepis is the source of this 1809-nucleotide long non-coding RNA. RefSeq lists it as uncharacterized. The transcript has 3 exons. Lineage: Eukaryota; Metazoa; Chordata; Actinopteri; Cypriniformes; Cyprinidae. The record is from RefSeq and is a predicted model, not a curated record.
AAAUAUUCAACAGAAGCGUGUCAAUUACAUGUAAGAAAGUGUCAGGAACAGUUGUAUGUAUUAUGUGUGUAAUUUUAGGGACUAAAUUUACCUGAAAGCAGUAAAAACAGUGAGAGACGGAAUUUUUUUGCCGCCCCGUUUCCAUGGAAACUCCCUCCACUCCAGUUUAAAUGCGUGCCUCGAAUGUUCAACGCGCGCGCCCAUCAAACACGUCAAAGUUAUGCAGCGUUUACAUAAAUAGUACCGGUACAUAAAAUUAGAAACUUGAUGACAUAUUGUUUAAGUGGAUAGUAUACCUAAAUUGAAUGAGAAUAUAGGAUCUAUAAUAUAAUUAUAGCUUUAAUGGUAAACGUUUUUUAUACAAUAAUUAGGAACCGACCUAGCAGUUUUAUUGCGCAGCAGCUCUCUCACUCACAGCGACCUCACUCAGAAAGAUGGUCAUGAUUAAACAAUCAUGAUCAAAGCAAAUAAGGUUAAAUAACCAAUAGGAAUUGUUUCAGCGUGGUAAGGCAGCGCAAUGUGUUUAGUUUUAUUGUUGUUGAUAAUAGUUAUACCAGAAGGUUUCAUGAUAAAAAUGUAAAAAUGUUACACAUUUUUAUUUGUGAAAGCAGUAUUUAUAAAUUGACUUUUAAAAAUCUUUAUACAGUAAUCAUGAAGGAAGACUUGUCACGGUGAUUCAUUGGUCAUAAGUUAUUGUGGGAAUGUGGUUGUUGAAUAUAGGGGAGAAAUUAUAUUUAUUUGAAGCAGAACGCAAAAGGGACAUCUAUCAGAAUACGGUCUCUGUCUUUACUUGGCAAAACAAGCAGUGCUGCAGAAACUGCUCCGUGAAGACGACUGUGGUCCAGGAAAUCCUGCCUUUGGCAGCGAGGGACAUUAUUCCUGAAGAAGAAACAACACACGACUGCGGAGCAAGUGACCGGCUUUAGAGAGAGGUUUGACACACUUUGACUGCUUUCGUCAUUUUCACAGAUCCAGAUUCUUUAAGACUGUGAUCACUUUUUGAAGGGUAGAGGGAACUAGUGUUGGGCGAUAUGCUCAAUUUUCAUAUCGUCCUAUCGUCAGCCUGUGAGAUCGCCGGUACACGAUAUUAUCCUGCUAAUUUAUUUAACUAUUUAUUUACUUGGUUUCAUUGCCGGAAAGUGAACCAACUCCAGCGUAAGGCUAAAAGCAGCCUAAUGUUUUUAAUAUGACUGAAUCUGUAUUUAACAUGAUAACAAAUUAAUAGAAACAUCAUAAGUUACUAAUUAUAAUGCUUACAUUUCCUCAGUUAUUCAAAAAGCAGCUAACUUACAGAAAACGAGCAAAGAACAUUACAUUACCAAAGAACAUCAUCACAAGCUCGGCCUAGCGCGAGUUAAUGCACUUUAAAAACACUCCCGUUAUAAUCGGUGAAUCUACACCGUAUGAUGAAUAAAUCUCUUAUACACACAUCUGCACUUUGUUGUUUAUGAGAGAACUCGUGAGUCAGAAUUCAGUCGGUGCGCUGAACAACAGAACGCCUCUGAUUGGACAUUGCAUUCAUAAACUCAGCAUAAUCCUGUGAUUGGUUAUAAUAAUGUGCAACACUGUAAAAACACGGAAAAAGAAAUAUAAUGCAACAAAUAAGCCCUAAUAUUAAUUAGUAUGACUAGCCUGAUAAUAAUAAUAAUAAUAAUAAUAAUCGUCUUGUCUUGCUAUCGUCAAAGGCAUCAUCCACAGGCGAUAUCUCUGACUAUCGUCGAUACAUGAUACAACCGUCUAUCAGCACAACCCUAGAGGAAACGGGACCCAAAGAUCCUGUACUUGUACUUAUCGUGCUGUCACACUAUG